Molecule: ribosomal RNA, 496 nt
Filed under: uncultured bacterium
Lineage: Bacteria
Description: partial 16S ribosomal RNA
Rfam family: Bacterial small subunit ribosomal RNA
Source: RNAcentral
GAUGAACGCUGGCGGCGUGCCUAAUACAUGCAAGUAGAACGCUGAAGGAGGAGCUUGCUCUUUCCGGAUGAGUUGCGAACGGGUGAGUAACGCGUAGGUAACCUGCCUGGUAGCGGGGGAUAACUAUUGGAAACGAUAGCUAAUACCGCAUAACAGUAGAUAUUGCAUGAUAUUUGCUUGAAAGGGGCAAUUGCUCCACUACCAGAUGGACCUGCGUUGUAUUAGCUAGUUGGUGAGGUAACGGGUCACCAAGGCGACGAUACAUAGCCGACCUGAGAGGGUGAUCGGCCACACUGGGACUGAGACACGGCCCAGACUCCUACGGGAGGCAGCAGUAGGGAAUCUUCGGCAAUGGACGGAAGUCUGACCGAGCAACGCCGCGUGAGUGAAGAAGGUUUUCGGAUCGUAAAGCUCUGUUGUAAGAGAAGAACGAGUGUGAGAGUGGAAAGUUCACACUGUGACGGUAUCUUACCAGAAAGGGACGGCUAACUACGUG